AGCGACGUGACGGAGGAUCAUUAUCGAGUUUUUUGAAGGGGUUGUAGCUGGCCUUUACGGAGGCAUGUUAGUGCACGCCCCGCUCAAUCCACUCUCUUACACCUGUGCACUCCUCCGUAGGUCUUUACAAGGUGGAAGGUGGGCUCUCUUUUGGGACCCUGCCCGAAGCUUUCUGGGGGCUUACGGUCGUUUACAAACACCUUUAAAGUAUCAGAACGCGUUGUUUGCAUGCGAUGCGUCGCAUCUUAUUAUACAACUUUCAGCAACGGAUCUCUUGGCUCUCGCAUCGAUGAAGAACGCAGCGAAAUGCGAUAAGUAAUGUGAAUUGCAGAAUUCAGUGAAUCAUCGAAUCUUUGAACGCACCUUGCGCUCCUUGGUAUUCCGAGGAGCAUGCCUGUUUGAGUGUCAUGAAAUUCUCAAUUCCGCAAGCUUUUGUUUGUGGACUUGGAUUUGGAGGCCUUGUCGGAUCACUUGAAGUGUUCGGCUCCUCUCAAAAGCAUUAGCUUGGCUCCUUGCGCAUUCGGCUUUCGGUGUGAUAAAUGUCUACGCCGUGGUCGUUUGAAAGCUGCUGUCGGACAAGCUUCUAGUUGAACGCGACGUUUUCUUGCCUUUACCCCGGCGAGAGAGCGGUUGUCGUUUUUUGAUCUUUCUGACCUCAAAUCAGGUAGGACUACCCGCUGAACUUAAGCAUAUCAAAAGCCGCGGAGAGGA
This is a ribosomal RNA of 711 nucleotides. The stretch from base 255 to 408 matches the Rfam family "5.8S ribosomal RNA".